UUCGUAGGCGGUGUGGCAAGUCGGGAGUGAAAUCUCUAGGCUCAACCUAGAGGCUGCUUCCGAAACUGCUGUGCUUGAGUGUGAGAGAGGCUCGUGGAAUUGCAGGUGUAGCGGUGAAAUGCGUAGAUAUCUGCAGGAACACCCGUGGCGAAAGCGGCGAGCUGGAUCACUACUGACGCUGAGGAACGAAAGCUAGGGGAGCAAACAGGAUUAGAUACCCUGGUAGUCCUAGCCCUAAACGAUCAGGACUUGGGGUGGCUUCCGUUCGGAAGUCGUCCCGGAGCUAACGCGUUAAAGUCCUGCACCUGGGGAGUACGGUCGCAAGACUGAA
Molecule: ribosomal RNA, 331 nt
Filed under: uncultured bacterium
Lineage: Bacteria
Description: bacterial SSU rRNA
Rfam family: Bacterial small subunit ribosomal RNA
Source: RNAcentral